This 550-nucleotide ribosomal RNA is filed under the name Penicillium sp. FS2-2. RNAcentral's name for it is "eukaryotic LSU rRNA". It matches the Rfam family "Eukaryotic large subunit ribosomal RNA", at positions 58 to 625 of the family's 3401-position model. Lineage: Eukaryota; Fungi; Ascomycota; Eurotiomycetes; Eurotiales; Aspergillaceae. The record is from RNAcentral.
AAAGAAACCAACAGGGAUUGCCCCAGUAACGGCGAGUGAAGCGGCAAGAGCUCAAAUUUGAAAGCUGGCUCCUUCGGGGUCCGCAUUGUAAUUUGUAGAGGAUGCUUCGGGAGCGGUCCCCAUCUAAGUGCCCUGGAACGGGACGUCAUAGAGGGUGAGAAUCCCGUAUGGGAUGGGGUGUCCGCGCCCGUGUGAAGCUCCUUCGACGAGUCGAGUUGUUUGGGAAUGCAGCUCUAAAUGGGUGGUAAAUUUCAUCUAAAGCUAAAUAUUGGCCGGAGACCGAUAGCGCACAAGUAGAGUGAUCGAAAGAUGAAAAGCACUUUGAAAAGAGAGUUAAAAAGCACGUGAAAUUGUUGAAAGGGAAGCGCUUGCGACCAGACUCGCUCGCGGGGUUCAGCCGGCAUUCGUGCCGGUGUACUUCCCCGCGGGCGGGCCAGCGUCGGUUUGGGCGGUCGGUCAAAGGCCCUCGGAAGGUAACGCCCCUAGGGGCGUCUUAUAGCCGAGGGUGCAAUGCGACCUGCCUAGACCGAGGAACGCGCUCGGCUCGACG